Molecule: long non-coding RNA, 925 nt
Organism: Plodia interpunctella (Indianmeal moth)
Lineage: Eukaryota; Metazoa; Arthropoda; Insecta; Lepidoptera; Pyralidae
Exons: 2
Source: RefSeq, a predicted model, not a curated record
AAGAGUUCGGCGCAAGAGGAAAACCUGGAUUAUUAGACGCAUUUUUUAUUAGAAAUCACGCGGUUUGUAUUCAUUCAGAUGGAAACGUUAGUCGAUGCAUACCUACUUUGCUGCUUACUGUUAUACACGGGAGAACAUUGGCGUCUGCUUUUUCAUUAUAUGUAUGUAACAUGACUUCUUGAAAUAAUAAGAAGUGUAAUAUUAUAGACACCUAUAUCAAAUCUAUCGGAAAUCCGAAUAUUUCCCUAACGUUGAUUAUCUCAAUAAUCAAGAUUGAGGAAAUAUAUCACACUGUAUGUGGGAAAUCCUAAUGAAGUUGCAUAUAAGUAUCCAUGACCUGGCAGCCAUCAGUCAUUCACCGUCCGGCGCGAGUGCGGGCCAGCCACCAUGGCUCACGCCGUCAUUUUAGCUAUACUCAUCUGCAUAUGCGUGUGCGCAGAAUGCGCGCCUUUUAAAAACACUAACAAAGUGGACGCCAAAGAAAUAAAUCAAGCAAUGAACAGAGAAAUUAGAGGUUUACUGUCGGAACAACGGAAUGUACACAUAGUAAAGGACCCUUGUAAAAACGCUGAAGAGCCGUGCGAUUACGAUGAAGUGGAAUUCUUCCUCAUCCCGAGCACAGCCCUGCCCAGGAUACCUCUUCGCCACGCAGUGUGAGGAUGACUGAUCAAGUGAAUGCAGGAGCGUCGAGAAGGCUGCUAUUAGCUUAAAGUUAAAGUUCCUACGUGCAUGUGUGAUUAAUUUAGGGUACCUACUUAUUAAGUGAUACUUCUUCAUGUCGAAAUGGAUGGUUUUGGACUAAGGUGUCUAUGAGUAGGUAUCUACUAAUUCCAUGAUUUUCCAUUUUAAGACUGAACAUUCUCAGUGUUUUGACAAAAAACACAAAAGAUUGUGUGAUUUAAAUAAACAAAUGUUUUAUGUUUUA